This 227-nucleotide ribosomal RNA is filed under the name uncultured prokaryote. Its description in RNAcentral is "partial 16S ribosomal RNA". It matches the Rfam family "Bacterial small subunit ribosomal RNA", at positions 524 to 750 of the family's 1533-position model. The record is from RNAcentral.
UACGAAGGGGGCUAGCGUUGUUCGGAAUUACUGGGCGUAAAGCGCGCGUAGGCGGUCAUGUAAGUCAGGGGUGAAAUCCCAGAGCUUAACUCUGGAAUGGCCUUUGAGACUGCAUGGCUCGAGAGCGGGAGAGGUGAGUGGAAUUCCCAGUGUAGAGGUGAAACUCGUAGAUAUUGGGAAGAACACCGGUGGCGAAGGCGGCUCACUGGCCCGUUUCUGACGCUCAG